GUCGGUCGGGAACAAUCGAUAAAAUUUCAACGGCAUCCAGACACGGUACCGUACAUGAUAUUUUCUGAUAUAAUAUAAUAUAAUUUAUUAAAAUUAACCGAGUCAAAAACGGUGCGACUUGUCCGGGUUUCACCCUAAGACCCAUCCACGGUUACCACCAGACACGCGGAACGAGACGGGACCGAGACACCCCUAUUAACAGCGAUCUUAAUUAAUGAAUGAAUCAAAUCCUGUUCUGCAUAUGUAAUUAGGAUAUAAUCCCUAAUUCUCCUUAAUAAGCACGCCAGAAUUUACAUGUGUCGACCUGCCAGGUGAGAAUUCAUAGACGUUUCCAUGAAGUCACAAGCAGCUAGCAACAGAAGCAACCAGGAUGCAUCUGUAAUGGAGGUUGUGGGUGUCUGGGUGUGGUGAGGUCAGAAAAAAACGUCUCCACCAUUAAAAACCUCUGCACAAACACUGAAAGUCAAAUACAUAGUUGGAUCCCAUUAAUUCAGAAAUCUGCAUAUCCCAAGAAUCCAAAAUCACACAAACCAAUAUUUAAAUAAAAAACAAAUUCCACACUGAUUCUUGAAUAUACUUGAUUUUUAAACAUCAUCAAUCCCUAAAAUUUUUUAUGUUUUUGAUCGGCACAAACUUUGAGAAAACUGUUGAUUUGAUAAAACAUUUCAAGCAGAAAUCAAAACAGUUGAGGAAAAUCUUCAUCUUACAAACAACAAAAAAAAAACUUGGAAAAAUUAAAGUAAAAAAAAAACAGCUAUUUAAUAUGGAUUUGAAGCAGGAAUUGAGGGAAACGAGAAGAGAUUGACGGAGUAUCUGAAGUUCAUGAAUUAGUUGGAAAGUUGGGAGUUGAAAGACUUGAUGUCGAAACGAACAACUAACUACCAGAAGAGAUUCCAUCAUAACACACCGAUUUUUGAGGUGAAAAAUGAUUACACGAUCUAAGAUUAAUCACUGUAAUUAUGAUAUUUCAUUGCCUAUUUCAAAGUUUAAAAAAAAAAAACAUUCAAUUUCAGACUCUCUCAUCAUCUCACAUGUGACCAAACAGUGACCAAAAUGACAAACCUGACCUUCCCAUCUCAAAUCAAUUACGGUUUAAUUUCUUC
Molecule: long non-coding RNA, 1103 nt
Filed under: Zostera marina
Lineage: Eukaryota; Viridiplantae; Streptophyta; Magnoliopsida; Alismatales; Zosteraceae
Description: long non-coding RNA (ZMAR_LNC002612)
Source: RNAcentral